AUUGAACGCUGGCGGCAGGCUUAACACAUGCAAGUCGAGCGGGGUGAUGGUGCUUGCACUAUCACUUAGCGGCGGACGGGUGAGUAAUGCUUAGGAAUCUGCCUAUUAGUGGGGGACAACAUCUCGAAAGGGAUGCUAAUACCGCAUACGUCCUACGGGAGAAAGCAGGGGAUCACUUGUGACCUUGCGCUAAUAGAUGAGCCUAAGUCGGAUUAGCUAGUUGGUGGGGUAAAGGCCUACCAAGGCGACGAUCAGUAGCCGGCCUGAGAGGAUGAUCCGCCACACUGGGACUGAGACACGGCCCAGACUCCUACGGGAGGCAGCAGUGGGGAAUAUUGGACAAUGGGGGGAACCCUGAUCCAGCCAUGCCGCGUGUGUGAAGAAGGCCUUAUGGCUGUAAAGCACUUUAAGCGAGGAGGAGGCUCUUUUGGUUAAUACCCAAGAUGAGUGGACGUUACUCGCAGAAUAAGCACCGGCUAACUCUGUGCCAGCCGCCGCGGUAA
This 503-nucleotide ribosomal RNA is filed under the name uncultured bacterium. Its description in RNAcentral is "partial 16S ribosomal RNA". It matches the Rfam family "Bacterial small subunit ribosomal RNA", at positions 30 to 523 of the family's 1533-position model. The record is from RNAcentral.